UUUAUGGAGAGUUUGAUCCUGGCUCAGGAUGAACGCUGGCGGCGUGCCUAAUACAUGCAAGUCGAGCGAACGGACGAGAAGCUUGCUUCUCUGAUGUUAGCGGCGGACGGGUGAGUAACACGUGGAUAACCUACCUAUAAGACUGGGAUAACUUCGGGAAACCGGAGCUAAUACCGGAUAAUAUUUUGAACCGCAUGGUUCAAAAGUGAAAGACGGUCUUGCUGUCACUUAUAGAUGGAUCCGCGCUGCAUUAGCUAGUUGGUAAGGUAACGGCUUACCAAGGCAACGAUGCAUAGCCGACCUGAGAGGGUGAUCGGCCACACUGGAACUGAGACACGGUCCAGACUCCUACGGGAGGCAGCAGUAGGGAAUCUUCCGCAAUGGGCGAAAGCCUGACGGAGCAACGCCGCGUGAGUGAUGAAGGUCUUCGGAUCGUAAAACUCUGUUAUUAGGGAAGAACAUAUGUGUAAGUAACUGUGCACAUCUUGACGGUACCUAAUCAGAAAGCCACGGCUAACUACGUGCCAGCAGCCGCGGUAAUACGUAGGUGGCAAGCGUUAUCCGGAAUUAUUGGGCGUAAAGCGCGCGUAGGCGGUUUUUUAAGUCUGAUGUGAAAGCCCACGGCUCAACCGUGGAGGGUCAUUGGAAACUGGAAAACUUGAGUGCAGAAGAGGAAAGUGGAAUUCCAUGUGUAGCGGUGAAAUGCGCAGAGAUAUGGAGGAACACCAGUGGCGAAGGCGACUUUCUGGUCUGUAACUGACGCUGAUGUGCGAAAGCGUGGGGAUCAAACAGGAUUAGAUACCCUGGUAGUCCACGCCGUAAACGAUGAGUGCUAAGUGUUAGGGGGUUUCCGCCCCUUAGUGCUGCAGCUAACGCAUUAAGCACUCCGCCUGGGGAGUACGACCGCAAGGUUGAAACUCAAAGGAAUUGACGGGGACCCGCACAAGCGGUGGAGCAUGUGGUUUAAUUCGAAGCAACGCGAAGAACCUUACCAAAUCUUGACAUCCUUUGACAACUCUAGAGAUAGAGCCUUCCCCUUCGGGGGACAAAGUGACAGGUGGUGCAUGGUUGUCGUCAGCUCGUGUCGUGAGAUGUUGGGUUAAGUCCCGCAACGAGCGCAACCCUUAAGCUUAGUUGCCAUCAUUAAGUUGGGCACUCUAAGUUGACUGCCGGUGACAAACCGGAGGAAGGUGGGGAUGACGUCAAAUCAUCAUGCCCCUUAUGAUUUGGGCUACACACGUGCUACAAUGGACAAUACAAAGGGCAGCGAAACCGCGAGGUCAAGCAAAUCCCAUAAAGUUGUUCUCAGUUCGGAUUGUAGUCUGCAACUCGACUACAUGAAGCUGGAAUCGCUAGUAAUCGUAGAUCAGCAUGCUACGGUGAAUAUGUUCCCGGGUCUUGUACACACCGCCCGUCACACCACGAGAGUUUAUAACACCCGAAGCCGGUGGAGUAACCUUUUAGGAGCUAGCCGUCGAAGGUGGGACAAAUGAUUGGGGUGAAGUCGUAACAAGGUAGCCGUAUCGGAAGGUGCGGCUGGAUCACCUCCUUUCU
Molecule: ribosomal RNA, 1554 nt
Filed under: Staphylococcus aureus
Lineage: Bacteria; Bacillati; Bacillota; Bacilli; Caryophanales; Staphylococcaceae
Description: 16S ribosomal RNA
Rfam family: Bacterial small subunit ribosomal RNA
Source: RNAcentral